Molecule: ribosomal RNA, 497 nt
Filed under: uncultured bacterium
Lineage: Bacteria
Description: partial 16S ribosomal RNA
Rfam family: Bacterial small subunit ribosomal RNA
Source: RNAcentral
GAUGAACGCUGGCGGCGUGCCUAAUACAUGCAAGUCGAGCGAACAGACGAGGAGCUUGCUCCUCUGACGUUAGCGGUGGACGGGUGAGUAACACGUGGAUAACCUACCUAUAAGACUGGGAUAACUUCGGGAAACCGGAGCUAAUACCGGAUAACAUGUUGAACCGCAUGGUUCAACAGUGAAAGACGGUUUUGCUGUCACUUUUAGAUGGAUCCGCGCCGCAUUAGCUAGUUGGUAAGGUAACGGCUUACCAAGGCUACGAUGCGUAGCCGACCUGAGAGGGUGAUCAGCCACACUGGAACUGAGACACGGUCCAGACUCCUACGGGAGGCAGCAGUAGGGAAUCUUCGGCAAUGGGCGAAAGCCUGACGGAGCAACGCCGCGUGAGUGAAGAAGGUCUUCGGAUCGUAAAACUCUGUUAUUAGGGAAGAACAAAUGUGUAAGUAACUAUGCACGUCUUGACGGUACCUAAUCAGAAAGCCACGGCUAACUACGUG